CGUAGCGAAAGCUACGCUAAUACCGCAUACGAUCUAUGGAUGAAAGCGGGGGAUCGCAAGACCUCGCGCGAUUGGAGCGGCCGAUAUCAGAUUAGGUAGUUGGUGAGGUAAAGGCUCACCAAGCCGACGAUCUGUAGCUGGUCUGAGAGGACGACCAGCCACACUGGGACUGAGACACGGCCCAGACUCCUACGGGAGGCAGCAGUGGGGGAAUUUUUGGACAAUGGGGCGCAAGCCUGAUCCAGCGAUGCCGCGUGCAGGAUGAAGGCCUUCGGGUUGUAAACUGCUUUUGUACGGAACGAAACGGUGAGCUCUAAUACAGUUUGCUAAUGACGGUACCGUAAGAAUAAGCACCGGCUAACUACGUG
RNAcentral lists this ribosomal RNA (368 nucleotides) under uncultured bacterium. RNAcentral describes it as "bacterial SSU rRNA". It matches the Rfam family "Bacterial small subunit ribosomal RNA", at positions 147 to 507 of the family's 1533-position model. The record is from RNAcentral.